GACGAACGCUGGCGGCGUGCUUAACACAUGCAAGUCGAACGGAAAGGCCCCUUUUGGUGUUCUCGAGUGGCGAACGGGUGUGUAACACGUGUGUAACCUGCCCUUGACUUCGGGAUAACUUCAGGAAACUGGGGCUUAUACCGGCUAGGAAUCCUUGCUGCAUGGUGGGGGUUGGAAAGCUUCGGCGCUUUUGGAUGGGCCUGCGGCGUAUCAGCUUGUUGGUGGGGUAGUGGCUUACCAAGGCUUUGACGGGUAGCCGGACUGAGAGGGCGACCGGCCACACUGGGACCGACGGACGGCCCAGACUCCUACGAGAGGCAGCAGGGGGGAAUAUUGCACAAGGGGCGGAGGGCGUAUGCAGCAAGGCCGCGGGCGGGAUGACGGCCUUCGGGUUGUAAACCGCUUUCAGCAGGAGCGAAGCUUGUGGUGACGUUACCUGCAGAAGAAGCACCGGCUAACUACGUG
RNAcentral lists this ribosomal RNA (465 nucleotides) under uncultured bacterium. RNAcentral describes it as "partial 16S ribosomal RNA". It matches the Rfam family "Bacterial small subunit ribosomal RNA", at positions 28 to 507 of the family's 1533-position model. The record is from RNAcentral.